Molecule: long non-coding RNA, 417 nt
Organism: Daktulosphaira vitifoliae (grape phylloxera)
Lineage: Eukaryota; Metazoa; Arthropoda; Insecta; Hemiptera; Phylloxeridae
Exons: 3
Source: RefSeq, a predicted model, not a curated record
GGCUUUUGCUUCUUCCUUCCUUAUUUUACUUCAUAAUUUAUUAACUUUCCUUAAUUUCAAUUUUAGUGUUAUGGUACACACGGUACUCCUUUGAAUUUCAUCAUGAAACCAAAACUAGCAUUUGAAGCUUUGAAAAAUUCUAUAAAAUAUAAAGGAAUAAAAUGUUAAACAGGUUCAAAUAAUGUGGCAAUGACUUAAUAAUUGAAACUAUCGAAAUUAUAAUCAAUAUAUAAGUAUAAAUGGUAUUAAUAAUAAUAUUAUAGAGGAGCUUAAAUAUUUCUCUCGUGAUUAAAAUAAAGUCUUUAAAUUGUAUUAGGAAAUAGUUUUAUAAUUGUAUAUAAUCAUUAAAUUACUAUAAACUGUUAUUAUUAUUAGAUAUUUUUCCCACCAUUGUAAAUAUAAUGUUUGUCAAUAAUU